RNAcentral lists this ribosomal RNA (421 nucleotides) under uncultured soil bacterium. RNAcentral describes it as "bacterial SSU rRNA". It matches the Rfam family "Bacterial small subunit ribosomal RNA", at positions 26 to 496 of the family's 1533-position model. The record is from RNAcentral.
AGAACGAACGCUGGCGGCAUGCCUAAUACAUGCAAGUCGAACGAACACUUCGGUGUUAGUGGCGCACGGGUGCGUAACGCGUGGGAAUCUGCCCUUGGGUUCGGAAUAACAGUUGGAAACGACUGCUAAUACCGGAUGAUAUCGAAAGAUCAAAGAUUUAUCGCCCAGGGAUGAGCCCGCGUAGGAUUAGCUAGUUGGUGAGGUAAAGGCUCACCAAGGCGACGAUCCUUAGCUGGUCUGAGAGGAUGAUCAGCCACACUGGGACUGAGACACGGCCCAGACUCCUACGGAGGCAGCAGUAGGGAAUAUGACAAGUGGGCGCAAGCCUAGAUCCAGCAAUGACCGCGUGAGUGAUGAAGGCCGUUAGGGUGUAAGCUCUUUACCCGAGAUGAUAUGACAGUAUCGGAAGAAUAACGCCCGG